RNAcentral lists this ribosomal RNA (440 nucleotides) under uncultured bacterium. RNAcentral's name for it is "partial 16S ribosomal RNA". It matches the Rfam family "Bacterial small subunit ribosomal RNA", at positions 338 to 795 of the family's 1533-position model. The record is from RNAcentral.
CCUACGGGAGGCAGCAGUGGGGGAUAUUGCACAAUGGGGGAAACCCUGAUGCAGCGACGCCGCGUGGGUGAAGAAGCGCCUCGGCGCGUAAAGCCCUGUCAGCAGGGAAGAAAAUGACGGUACCUGAAGAAGAAGCCCCGGCUAACUCCGUGCCAGCAGCCGCGGUAAUACGUAGGGGGCAAGCGUUAUCCGGAUUUACUGGGUGUAAAGGGGGCGGAGACGGAGAGACAAGUCAGAUGUGAAAUCCACGGGCUCAACCCGUGAACUGCAUUUGAAACUGUGUUUCUUGAGUGCUGGAGAGUCAAUCGGAAUUCCGUGUGUAGCGGUUAAAUGCGUAGAUAUCCGGAGGAACACCAGUGGCGAAGGCGGCUUGCUGGACCGUACCUGACGCUGAUGCGCGAAAGCGUGGGGAGCAAACAGGAUUAGAUACCCCAGUAGUC